Molecule: long non-coding RNA, 1428 nt
Filed under: Lactuca sativa (garden lettuce)
Lineage: Eukaryota; Viridiplantae; Streptophyta; Magnoliopsida; Asterales; Asteraceae
Description: long non-coding RNA (LSAT_LNC008425)
Source: RNAcentral
CUUUAAGUAAUUCCAGCCAGCGUCGUUGCCUCAUAUUCAAUUCUUUCUGACUAAAGAGAUAUUGGAGACUCUUAUGAUCAGUGAAAAGUUUGCACUUUGUGCCAUAGAGGUAAUGCCUCCAUAUUUUCAGUGCGAAAACUACCGCUGCCAACUCCAAAUCAUGAGUCGGGUNACCGGGGUGGUAAAGUAUCUCACUGUCGUAGUCUUUAAGUAACUCUAGCCAGCAUCGUUGUCUCAUAUUCAAUUCCUUUUUGACUAAAGAGAUAUUGGAGACUCUUAUGAUCAAUGAAAAGUUUGCACUUCGUGCCAUAGAGGUAAUGCCACCAUAUUUGCAGAGCAAAAGCUACCGCUACCAACUCCAAAUCAUGAGUCGGGUAGUUCUUUUCAUGCNAAUGUUGUGCCUUGACUCUUGCAUAAGUCACACACUCGGCCACAUACUUCGCAAUGUCGAGCUUCAUCGUCGGCCACCAAUAAUAGGGUUUCAGGUCCCUAUACAUCUUUGUGCUACCGGGAUGAAUCGAGUACAUGGUUUUGUGAGCUUCUUCCAUCAGAAGAUCUCUGACUCCUCCUGUCUUAGGUAUCCAAAUCCGAUCUUGGAACACCUUCAGUCCGUGACUGUUUACACCGAACACCAACGUUUUGCCCAAACGUUCCUCCUUUCGGUCAUUUUUCUCAGAAGCUUCGCUUUGAGCUUUCUUUAUACUUUCCAAAAUAGUCGAGACAACUUCAAUUCUCAACGCUCUUGGCCUUUUCUUUUCAAGAUUGACCUUCCGACUGAGAGCAUCAGCAACAAUAUUGGCCUUACCGGGGUGGUAAAGUAUCUCACAGUCGUAGUCCUUAAGUAAUUCCAGCCAGCGUCGUUGCCUCAUAUUCAAUUCUUUCUGACUAAAGAGAUAUUGGAGACUCUUAUGAUCAGUGAAAAGUUUGCACUUCGUGCCAUAGAGGUAAUGCCUCCAUAUUUUCAGUGCGAAAACUACCGCUGCCAACUCCAAAUCAUGAGUCGGGUAGUUCUUUUCGUGCUCUUUCAGCUGUCGAGACGCAUAUGCGAUCACCUUAUCCCUUUGGGUCAAAACGCAACCCAAUCCAACCCCAGACGCAUCGCUAUAAACAGCGAAGUCUUCAACCCCAUCGGGUAGAGAAAGUAUCGGUGCCUCGCAUAGUUUCUUCUUUAGUCUCUCGAAUGCUUCUUUAUGCUUAUCACUCCAAGCAUAAGUAGCUCCUUUGUGGGUCAAAGCUGUUAAUGGACUAGCGAUCGAAGAAAAGCCUUGGAUAAACCUUCGGUAAUAUCCGGCUAAUCCUAAAAAGCUUCGGAUCUCCGUGGGACUUUUCGGUUGUUCCCACUUCAUCACAGCUUCGAUCUUCGCUGGAUCAACCAUUAUCCCUUCUUGGUUGACCACGUGACCCAAAAAUUGGACUUCACGAAUCCAG